RNAcentral lists this ribosomal RNA (205 nucleotides) under uncultured Acidovorax sp. Its description in RNAcentral is "partial 16S ribosomal RNA". It matches the Rfam family "Bacterial small subunit ribosomal RNA", at positions 1178 to 1382 of the family's 1533-position model. The record is from RNAcentral. Lineage: Bacteria; Pseudomonadati; Pseudomonadota; Betaproteobacteria; Burkholderiales; Comamonadaceae.
GGUGAUGUCAAGUCCUCAUGGCCCUUAUAGGUGGGGCUACACACGUCAUACAAUGGAUGGUACAAAGGGUCGCCAACCCGCGAGGGGGAGCCAAUCCCAUAAAGCCAUUCGUAGUCCGGAUCGCAGUCUGCAACUCGACUGCGUGAAGUCGGAAUCGCUAGUAAUCGUGGAUCAGAAUGUCACGGUGAAUACGUUCCCGGGUCUU